AUCCUGGCUCAGAUUGAACGCUGGCGGCAGGCCUAACACAUGCAAGUCGAGCGGAUGAAGGGAGCUUGCUCCUGGAUUCAGCGGCGGACGGGUGAGUAAUGCCUAGGAAUCUGCCUGGUAGUGGGGGAUAACGUCCGGAAACGGGCGCUAAUACCGCAUACGUCCUGAGGGAGAAAGUGGGGGAUCUUCGGACCUCACGCUAUCAGAUGAGCCUAGGUCGGAUUAGCUAGUUGGUGGGGUAAAGGCCUACCAAGGCGACGAUCCGUAACUGGUCUGAGAGGAUGAUCAGUCACACUGGAACUGAGACACGGUCCAGACUCCUACGGGAGGCAGCAGUGGGGAAUAUUGGACAAUGGGCGAAAGCCUGAUCCAGCCAUGCCGCGUGUGUGAAGAAGGUCUUCGGAUUGUAAAGCACUUUAAGUUGGGAGGAAGGGCAGUAAGUUAAUACCUUGCUGUUUUGACGUUACCAACAGAAUAAGCACCGGCUAACUUCGUGCCAGCAG
RNAcentral lists this ribosomal RNA (503 nucleotides) under Pseudomonas aeruginosa. Its description in RNAcentral is "bacterial SSU rRNA". It matches the Rfam family "Bacterial small subunit ribosomal RNA", at positions 16 to 514 of the family's 1533-position model. The record is from RNAcentral. RNAcentral also lists the same sequence under 1 other name. Lineage: Bacteria; Pseudomonadati; Pseudomonadota; Gammaproteobacteria; Pseudomonadales; Pseudomonadaceae.